ACCCUCCAAGCCAAAAUACUGAUAUCGACCGAUAGCGCAUAGUACCGUGAGGGAAAGGUGAAAAGAACCCCUGGCGGGGAGUGAAAGAGAACCUGAAACCGUAUGUCUACAAACAGUCGAAGUCUGUAUAUAUAUCAGGACGACGGCGUGCCUAUUGAAGAAUGAACCGACGAGUUACUGUUGCUAGCGAGGUUAAGUGGAACACAUGGAGCCGCAGCGAAAGCGAGGCUGAACAGGGCGUUCAGUUAGUAAUAGUAGACCCGAAACCGUAGUGAUCUAUCCAUGGCCAGGUUGAAGCACAGGUAAAAUUGUGUGGAGGACCGAACUCGUGAGCGUUGAAAAGCUUUGGGAUGAGUUGUGGAUAGGGGUGAAAUGCCAAUCGAACACGGAGAUAGCUGGUUCUCCCCGAAAUAGCUUUAGGGCUAGCCUCGAGGUAGAGAGUAUAGGCGGUAGAGCACUGAUCGGGCUAGGGGCCAUACCGGUUACCGAACCUAGUCAAACUACGAAUGGCUAUACUUAUACUCGGGAGUCAGACAGUGAAUGAUAAGGUCCAUUGUCAAGAGGGAAACAGCCCAGAACACCGACUAAGGUCCCCAAUGUUACACUAAGUGGCGAAGGAUGUGGAAUUUCCAAAACAACCAGGAUGUUGGCUUAGAAGCAGCCACCAUUUAAAGAGUGCGUAAUAGCUCACUGGUCGAGAGACUCUGCGCCGAAAAUGUCCGGGGCUAAAGUGUAAAACCGAAGUCGUGUCAUAUGCAGCAAUGUAUAUGGGUAGGGGAGCGUUCUCAUCGGGCUGAAGCAGUACCGUAAGGAGUUGUGGACUGAUGAGAAGUGAGAAUGUCGGUAUGAGUAGCGAAAAGAAUGGUGAGAAUCCAUUCCACCGAAAGCCUAAGGGUUCCUGAGCAACGAUCGUCGUCUCAGGGUAAGUCGGGACCUAAGCCGAGGCGGAAAAGCGUAGGCGAUGGACAACAGGUUGAAAUUCCUGUACCGGUGUGAAUCGUUUGAUCGAUGGAGUGACACAGUAAGGUAGGUCAGCACGCGAUUGGAAGUGCGUGUUUAAGCAGGUAGGUUGAGCUAUAGGUAAAUCCGUAGCUCUAAAAGCUGAGAUGUGAUGACGAGUGACUAGCAAUAGUCGCGAAGUGAUUGAUCCUACACUGUCGAGAAAAGCUUCUAGGUAGAGACACAUCGCCCGUACCAAAACCGACACAGGUAGGCGGGGAGAGAAUCCUAAGGUGCGCGGGAAAACCCUCGUUAAGGAACUCGGCAAAAUGCCUCCGUAACUUCGGGAAAAGGAGGACUCAUGUAGUGUGAAGAGCAGAAGCGCUUGGAGCAUGAAUGAGUGGCACAAGAGAGGCGCAAGCGACUGUUUACCACAAACACAGGUGCCUGCUAAAGCGAAAGCUGAUGUAUAGGUGCUGACACCUGCCCGGUGCUGGAAGGUUAAGAGGAGGGGUUAGACUUUGGGCGAAGCUCUGAAUUGAAGCCCCAGUAAACGGCGGCCGUAACUAUAACGGUCCUAAGGUAGCGAAAUUCCUUGUCGGGUAAGUUCCGACCCGCACGAAAGGUGUAACGACUUGCGCACUGUCUCAACGAGGGACCCGGUGAAAUUGAAGUACCUGUGAAGAUGCAGGUUACCCGCGACUGGACAGAAAGACCCCAUGGAGCUUUACUGCAACCUAAGAUUGAACUUAGUUAAUGAAUGUACAGGAUAGGUGGGAGACGGAGAACCUAGGACGCCAGUUUUAGGGGAGUCGCUGUUGGGAUACCACCCUUUCAUUAAUUGAUUUCUAACGGGCCGAGUAACGACCGGCCGGACAGUCUUAGGCGGGCAGUUUGACUGGGGCGGUCGCCUCCAAAAGAGUAACGGAGGCGCCCAAAGGUUCCCUCAGAGCGGACGGAAAUCGCUCGAAGAGUGUAAAGGCAGAAGGGAGCUUGACUGCGAGACGGACAGGUCGAGCAGGGACGAAAGUCGGGCUUAG
This 1979-nucleotide ribosomal RNA is filed under the name human gut metagenome. RNAcentral describes it as "bacterial LSU rRNA". It matches the Rfam family "Bacterial large subunit ribosomal RNA", at positions 455 to 2415 of the family's 2925-position model. The record is from RNAcentral.